AUUGAACGCUGGCGGCAUGCCUUACACAUGCAAGUCGAACGGCAGCACGGAGCUUGCUCUGGUGGCGAGUGGCGAACGGGUGAGUAAUAUAUCGGAACGUACCCUAGAGUGGGGGAUAACGUAGCGAAAGUUACGCUAAUACCGCAUACGAUCUAAGGAUGAAAGUGGGGGAUCGCAAGACCUCAUGCUCGUGGAGCGGCCGAUAUCUGAUUAGGUAGUUGGUGGGGUAAAGGCUCACCAAGCCAACGAUCUGUAGCUGGUCUGAGAGGACGACCAGCCACACUGGAACUGAGACACGGUCCAGACUCCUACGGGAGGCAGCAGUGGGGAAUUUUGGACAAUGGGCGCAAGCCUGAUGCAGCAACGCCGCGUGAGGGAUGAAGGCCUUCGGUGUAAACCUCUUUAGCAGGGAAGAAGCGAAAGUGACGGUACCUGCAGAAAAAGCACCGGCUAACACUGCCAGCAGCCGC
RNAcentral lists this ribosomal RNA (470 nucleotides) under uncultured bacterium. RNAcentral's name for it is "bacterial SSU rRNA". It matches the Rfam family "Bacterial small subunit ribosomal RNA", at positions 30 to 518 of the family's 1533-position model. The record is from RNAcentral.